CCCUCAACACACUGCACCACAUACAUACACAAUACUUCCAAAUAUAUAUUUAUAUAUAUACACACACACUACACUCUUAACAUACACACUCUGGAUCCCCUAUACACACACUAGAUUCCUUGUAAGCAAACACAUACUACACCCCUAAACAUACACUACAUCACCUAUAUACACACACACACACACACACACUAUAGCCUGUAUGCACACACUUGCUAUAUCCCCAAUACACACAUUCUCUACAGCCCCUAGCCACAUAUGCAUCACAUUACACCACAAACACAAC
This is a non-coding RNA of Pelobates cultripes (western spadefoot toad), 286 nucleotides long. The record is from the annotation of a GenBank genome assembly. NCBI's taxonomy places the organism in Eukaryota, Metazoa, Chordata, Amphibia, Anura, Pelobatidae.